This 2513-nucleotide ribosomal RNA is filed under the name human gut metagenome. RNAcentral's name for it is "bacterial LSU rRNA". It matches the Rfam family "Bacterial large subunit ribosomal RNA", at positions 14 to 2539 of the family's 2925-position model. The record is from RNAcentral.
AGGGCGCACGGUGGAUGCCUUGGCACUAGGAGCCGAUGAAGGACGGGACUAACACCGAUAUGCUUUGGGGAGCUGUAAGUAAGCUAUGAUCCAGAGAUUUCCGAAUGGGGGAACCCAAUAUCUUUUAUAGGAUAUUACUUUUCAGUGAAUACAUAGCUGAUUAGAGGUAGACGCAGAGAACUGAAACAUCUUAGUACCUGCAGGAAGAGAAAGAAAAUUCGAUUCCCUGAGUAGCGGCGAGCGAAACGGGAAGAGCCCAAACCAACAAGCUUGCUUGUUGGGGUUGUAGGACUCCAAUAUGGUAGUCUGUUAGUAUAGUUGAAGGAUUUGGAAAAUUCCGCUAAAGAGGGUGAAAGCCCCGUAGACGAAAUGCUGACAACACCUAGGAGGAUCCUGAGUACGGCGGAACACGAGAAAUUCCGUCGGAAUCCGCGGGGACCAUCCCGCAAGGCUAAAUACUCCCUAGUGACCGAUAGUGAACCAGUACCGUGAGGGAAAGGUGAAAAGCACCCCGGAAGGGGAGUGAAAUAGAUCCUGAAACCGUGUGCCUACAACAAGUCAAAGCUCGUUAAUGAGUGAUGGCGUGCCUUUUGUAGAAUGAACCGGCGAGUUACGAUUGCAUGCGAGGUUAAGUCGAAGAGACGGAGCCGCAGCGAAAGCGAGUCUGAAUAGGGCGAAUGAGUAUGUAGUCGUAGACCCGAAACCAUGUGAUCUACCCAUGUCCAGGUUGAAGGUGCGGUAAAACGCACUGGAGGACCGAACCCACGUACGUUGAAAAGUGCGGGGAUGAGGUGUGGGUAGCGGAGAAAUUCCAAACGAACUUGGAGAUAGCUGGUUCUCUCCGAAAUAGCUUUAGGGCUAGCCUCGGAAUUGAGAAUGAUGGAGGUAGAGCACUGUUUGGACUAGGGGCCCAUCUCGGGUUACCGAAUUCAGAUAAACUCCGAAUGCCAUUCAUUUAUAUCCGGGAGUCAGACUGCGAGUGAUAAGAUCCGUAGUCGAAAGGGAAACAGCCCAGACCACCAGCUAAGGUCCCAAAAUAUAUGUUAAGUGGAAAAGGAUGUGGGGUUGCACAGACAACUAGGAUGUUGGCUUAGAAGCAGCCACCAUUUAAAGAGUGCGUAAUAGCUCACUAGUCGAGUGACCCUGCGCCGAAAAUGUACCGGGGCUAAACAUAUUACCGAAGCUGUGGACUACACCAUUAGGUGUAGUGGUAGGAGAGCGUUCUAAGGGCGUUGAAGGUCGAUCGUGAGGACGGCUGGAGCGCUUAGAAGUGAGAAUGCCGGUAUGAGUAGCGAAAGACAGGUGAGAAUCCUGUCCACCGUAUGACUAAGGUUUCCUGGGGAAGGCUCGUCCGCCCAGGGUUAGUCGGGACCUAAGCCGAGGCCGAUAGGCGUAGGCGAUGGACAACAGGUUGAUAUUCCUGUACCAGUUGUUUUUGUUUGAACAAUGGAGGGACGCAGUAGGCUAAGGAAUGCAUGCGAUUGGAAGUGCAUGUCCAAGCAAUGAGUCUUGAGUAGAGUUAAAUGCUUUACUCUUUAAGGACAAGUUGUGACGGGGAGCGAAAUAAUAGUAGCGAAGUUCCUGAUGUCACACUGCCAAGAAAAGCUUCUAGUGAGAAAACAACUGCCCGUACCGUAAACCGACACAGGUAGUCGAGGAGAGUAUCCUAAGGUGAGCGAGCGAACUCUCGUUAAGGAACUCGGCAAAAUGACCCCGUAACUUCGGGAGAAGGGGUGCUGACUUCGGUCAGCCGCAGUGAAUAGGCCCAAGCGACUGUUUAUCAAAAACACAGGUCUCUGCAAAAUCGUAAGAUGAAGUAUAGGGGCUGACGCCUGCCCGGUGCUGGAAGGUUAAGAGGAUGGGUUAGCUUCGGCGAAGCUCAGAAUUGAAGCCCCAGUAAACGGCGGCCGUAACUAUAACGGUCCUAAGGUAGCGAAAUUCCUUGUCGGGUAAGUUCCGACCCGCACGAAAGGCGUAACGAUUUGGGCACUGUCUCAACGAGAGACUCGGUGAAAUUUUAGUACCUGUGAAGAUGCAGGUUACCCGCGACAGGACGGAAAGACCCCAUGGAGCUUUACUGUAGUUUGAUAUUGAGUGUUUGUACCACAUGUACAGGAUAGGUAGGAGCCGAUGAGACCGGAACGCUAGUUUCGGAGGAGGCGCUGGUGGGAUACUACCCUUGUGUUAUGAACCCUCUAACCCGCACCACUAAUCGUGGUGGGAGACAGUGUCAGAUGGGCAGUUUGACUGGGGCGGUCGCCUCCUAAAAGGUAACGGAGGCGCCCAAAGGUUCCCUCAGAAUGGUUGGAAAUCAUUCGAAGAGUGUAAAGGCAGAAGGGAGCUUGACUGCGAGACCUACAAGUCGAGCAGGGACGAAAGUCGGGCUUAGUGAUCCGGUGGUUCCGCAUGGAAGGGCCAUCGCUCAACGGAUAAAAGCUACCCUGGGGAUAACAGGCUUAUCUCCCCCAAGAGUCCACAUCGACGGGGAGGUUUGGCACCUCGAUGUCGGCUCG